This is a long non-coding RNA of Prunus dulcis (almond), 401 nucleotides long. RefSeq lists it as uncharacterized. The record is from RefSeq and is a predicted model, not a curated record. The transcript is spliced from 2 exons. Lineage: Eukaryota; Viridiplantae; Streptophyta; Magnoliopsida; Rosales; Rosaceae.
AGGCGUCUGGUUCGAUCUCAACUGGCUGGUUGGAGAGCUACAGGGGUAAAGAUGGGAGAGCUGGGUUGGUUCUUCGAUGUCUACAUCUGGAGGCUUCGACUGUUUUACACAGCCAUCUGCUUAGACCAUCAGUUUGCGUUUUCAUUGCUCUGAUCUUCCAAGGUGCUCAUUUUCUGACUCCCUUGGGUUCUAUCAGAUUAGCUCAGGUGUGGAGACUGGGUGGGAAAAGGGAGAGUAACUCACCAACUCCAUGAGGACAAUUUCAAUUUGGUUGCAUUACAUCUGGGUCUACAACUAAAUGCUUCGUCUUGUAGGUACCCAUAAUAAUCCAAUCUAUUCUUAAUUCAUAUGUUCAGAUGAUGAGAUCUUCUGUUGUUUUAGGAAAAUGGCUCAUUAUCAUU